UCUCUCUGCUCCGGAGGAGUGAGGCAGACAGACAGGGGUGUGCUAGCUGGCUAAAUUAGCAUUAGAUUAUUGUCUAUCUAUACAGCUAAUGUUAACAUUACUAUUGACCUUAUUUGUGG
Long non-coding RNA from Etheostoma spectabile (orangethroat darter), 119 nucleotides. RefSeq lists it as uncharacterized. Lineage: Eukaryota; Metazoa; Chordata; Actinopteri; Perciformes; Percidae. The transcript is spliced from 4 exons. The record is from RefSeq and is a predicted model, not a curated record.